This is a long non-coding RNA of Corythoichthys intestinalis (scribbled pipefish), 526 nucleotides long. RefSeq lists it as uncharacterized. The record is from RefSeq and is a predicted model, not a curated record. The transcript is spliced from 5 exons. Lineage: Eukaryota; Metazoa; Chordata; Actinopteri; Syngnathiformes; Syngnathidae.
GUUCGUGUUUCUCCCAAGGUCUGGUCUUGGUCAUGUCAAUUCUGCCGUUCAUUGACCUCGUGUUCCUGCAUCCUCUGCUUAUUUGCCGAUCAGGAGUAAGGAAGUGGGAAUCCCGUCUUUAACGGCCUCCCUGAUAAAGACGGCAGAUGUGCUCCCACGUGUUCAGCGGCUGCCGAGAGGGAGGAGAAUCGACGUACAUUUUGUGUCCAUCUUCGCUUAGCAACGAGCUUGUCAACAAGUCCUGAUUGGUGAAAAACCCACAAUGAAUUCCAGAUUUUCCUGAUUGAUGAUAUAACUGGAAAUGUUUGUACUUACCGGUACUUCCUGGGCAUGAGCGUUUGGUGAGAAGAGCUCUUGGCCUUCCCACUGCAUAUAUGGACUCCUUUCACACGGUGACUCCACCUUGGAAGUCAAAACACAAAAGGCGGGUGCUCGAUGGGGCACUCCAUUGGCUCCUGCUUAAUAGAAUCCACCAUCUGCUGAUCUAGAGAAGGCUGAAGAGCACGCAGAAAAAAUUUCAAAUAAG